CAGCAGCCGCGGGAAAACGUAGGGUGCAAGCGUUAAUCGGAAUUACUGGGCGUAAAGCGUGCGCAGGCGGUGUUGUAAGACUGAUGUGAAAUCCCCGGGCUCAACCUGGGAACUGCAUUGGUGACUGCAACGCUGGAGUGCGGCAGAGGGGGAUGGAAUUCCGCGUGUAGCAGUGAAAUGCGUAGAUAUGCGGAGGAACACCGAUGGCGAAGGCAAUCCCCUGGGCCUGCACUGACGCUCAUGCACGAAAGCGUGGGGAGCAAACAGGAUUAGAUACCCCUGUAGUCCCUGUUUCUUAUAC
This 301-nucleotide ribosomal RNA is filed under the name uncultured bacterium. RNAcentral's name for it is "partial 16S ribosomal RNA". It matches the Rfam family "Bacterial small subunit ribosomal RNA", at positions 509 to 807 of the family's 1533-position model. The record is from RNAcentral.